CACCCGCAUGGCCGGCGGCUGGCGCAGCGCCUUGAGCGCGUGGACAAGGCGCCGCGCAUCGUCUGGUUCGACCGCGAGGUGGAUGGC
RNAcentral lists this transfer RNA (87 nucleotides) under Chromobacterium violaceum. RNAcentral describes it as "tRNA-Ser(tga)". The record is from RNAcentral. Lineage: Bacteria; Pseudomonadati; Pseudomonadota; Betaproteobacteria; Neisseriales; Chromobacteriaceae.